RNAcentral lists this ribosomal RNA (568 nucleotides) under fungal endophyte. RNAcentral describes it as "eukaryotic LSU rRNA". The stretch from base 182 to 335 matches the Rfam family "5.8S ribosomal RNA". The record is from RNAcentral. Lineage: Eukaryota; Fungi.
AUUAAAGAGUUCUAUAACUCCCAAACCCAUGUGAACAUACCCAACGUUGCCUCGGCAGGUCGCGCCUACCUCGUAGCCCCCAUACACUGUAGGGCCUACCCGGGAGACGCGGGUAAGCCUGCCGGCGGCCCACCAAACUCUGUUUGAUAUUGAAUUCUGAACCUAUAACUAAAUAAGUUAAAACUUUCAACAACGGAUCUCUUGGUUCUGGCAUCGAUGAAGAACGCAGCGAAAUGCGAUAAGUAAUGUGAAUUGCAGAAUUCAGUGAAUCAUCGAAUCUUUGAACGCAUAUUGCGCCCAUUAGUAUUCUAGUGGGCAGGACCGUUCGAGCGUCAUUUCGACCCUUAAGCCUUAGUUGCUUAGUGUUGGGAGCCUACGGUAACGUAGCUCCUCAAAGUUAGUGGCGGAGUUGGUUCACACUCUAGACGUAGUAAUUUUUUAUCUCGCCUAUCAGUUGGACCGAUCCCCUGCCGUAAAACCCCCCAACUUCUCAAGGUUGACCUCGAAUCGGUUCAGACAAACUCGCUAAAUUGAAGCAUCUUAGUCAGCGAAGGAAAAGAAACCAACA